UCAUGAUUUUAUAUUUAUAACCCCUAAAUAUUUAAUACAAAAGUUAAUGAUACCUUAUGGUAUUCCUUUAUUUUUAUGUAUAUAAAUUUAUAUUUUUUGUUUCAUGAGAUGCUAUCCAAGUUCACCCUUCAUUUUCACUAUUAUAUUCGUGCUUUUGUUUGUUUUGAAAAGAAAAUUAUCUAUAGAUAAACAAAAAACAAUACUUGAUGAAAUAGAUAACAUAAAAAUAAAUAUUAGAUAUAGUAUAAUUAGAAUAAAUUAUUAUAAAAAGAUGAGGAUAUGACUACCAACUUAUCUGAUGAAAUGAUAGAUAAAUUUAAAAUACUUAUUUUGUAUGUACUUAAGGGUUUGGUUAAAUGCUUUAUCAUAAUAUUCACUGUUUGUUUGUUUUAAUCUUAAUAAUUCUGUUAUAUUUUCAUUAAUGUAUUCUAUGUAUUUUAUAUCUUUAGUUCUCAUAUAUUCUUCUAAAUUUGUUUUCAUUAGUUUUUCUAUUAAUUGUAUAUUUUCCAAAUCCAUUUUCCAAUAUUGUAGGUAUACGUAAUUUAUCAUAGAUGUGUAGUUUUGGUAUGUAGGUAUUUGUAAGAGUAGUUAGGUAGGUGAGGUACAUAAUUAAUUCUAGUCAUAAAAUAUUCAUCAAAUAUUUUUUCCAAUAUGAUUUUUCUUAUAUCUACUAUUUCUAUAUCCUUAAGUACAUACAAAAUAAGUAUUUUAAAUUUAUCUAUCAUUUCAUCAGAUAAGUUGGUAGUCAUAUCCUCAUCUUUUUAUAAUAAUUUAUUUUAAUUAUACUAUAUCUAAUAUUUAUUUUUAUGUUAUCUAUUUUGUCAAGUAUUAUUUUUUGUUCAUCUAUAGAUAAUUCUGGAUAACAUAAAUAUAGACUAUCUUCGGUUUCUCCUUCUUCUAAAUGUAACUUUAUUCCAAGUAAUCUUUGUUCUAAUUGUCUUUUUUCUCUUUUAAGCUGAUUUUCAAAAUUAAUUUCCUCAUGUAGUCAAUAUUCACAUAUCUUGUCCAAUAUUAUUUUCUUUAUGUCUAAAAUUUCUAUAUCUUUAAGUAUAUACAAAACAAGUAUCUUAAAUUUAUCUAUCAUUUCAUCAGGUAAGUAGGUAGUCAUUUUUCAUAAAAUGCUAUUUUUCAAAAUUUUUCCUUCAAUCAUAUACAAAACAAAAUAUGGUCAUCUUAAAUUACUAUGUACUAGAUUAUUCUUAAAUAAUUAUGUUACUCUGUCACUAUUAGCAUGGUAAUCUGGAUAUUUUUUCCUUAAACAACGCCUUUACUCUGGCUACUCCCCUAUCAUGGGCUUCUUCCCUUACCGGUUUCACCUUUAGGAUGACAUAGUUCUAAGGAUUUUUCUCCUUUUCCGCUUUGGUAAUAAACUUUGUAACAUAUUAUUCUUCGAAUACUUCUACUACAAAGUAAUUAACUUGAACUUAUUUUAUCAUAUCAUGAUUGUCAGGAAUUUAUGAAUUUAGCUAUUCAUAAUUGUAAAUAAAUAUACCUGUUCUGGUAAUUCGGGAUUUUGUUCAUCAAUAGCUUUUUUCAUUGAAAUAUACCUGUUUUUAUUAAGUAAUCAAAAAUAUUUUUUGUGCACAAGAGAAGGUUUUGCUUCAACUUAUG
RNAcentral lists this long non-coding RNA (1611 nucleotides) under Capsicum annuum. RNAcentral's name for it is "long non-coding RNA (CANN_LNC007317)". The record is from RNAcentral. Lineage: Eukaryota; Viridiplantae; Streptophyta; Magnoliopsida; Solanales; Solanaceae.